AUACGGAGGGUGCAAGCGUUAAUCGGAAUUACUGGGCGUAAAGCGCGCGUAGGCGGUUCGAUAAGUCUGAUGUGAAAGCCCUGGGCUUAACCUGGGAAUGGCAUUGGAUACUGUUGAACUAGAGUGCGGGAGAGGAGAGUGGAAUUCUCGGUGUAGCGGUGAAAUGCGUAGAUAUCGGGAGGAACACCAGUGGCGAAGGCGGCUCUCUGGACUGACACUGACGCUGAGGUGCGAAAGCGCGGGUAGCAAACAGGAUUAGAAACCCCAGUAGUCC
Molecule: ribosomal RNA, 274 nt
Filed under: uncultured bacterium
Lineage: Bacteria
Description: partial 16S ribosomal RNA
Rfam family: Bacterial small subunit ribosomal RNA
Source: RNAcentral